CCUACGGGAGGCAGCAGUGAGGAAUAUUGGUCAAUGGGCGCGAGCCUGAACCAGCCAAGUAGCGUGAAGGAUGACUGCCCUACGGGUUGUAAACUUCUUUUAUAAAGGAAUAAAGUGAGGCACGUGUGCCUUUUUGUAUGUACUUUAUGAAUAAGGAUCGGCUAACUCCGUGCCAGCAGCCGCGGUAAUACGGAGGAUGCGAGCGUUAUCCGGAUUUAUUGGGUUUAAAGGGUGCGUAGGCGGAUCGUUAAGUCAGUGGUCAAAUUGAGGGGCUCAACCCCUUCCCGCCAUUGAAACUGGCGCUCUUGAGUGGAAGAGAAGUAUGCGGAAUGCGUGGUGUAGCGGUGAAAUGCAUAGAUAUCGCGCAGAACUCCGAUUGCGAAGGCAGCCUGCUGGACUGUAACUGACGCUGAUGCUCGAAAGUGUGGGUAUCAAACAGGAUUAGAUACCCUUGUAGUC
This 459-nucleotide ribosomal RNA is filed under the name uncultured bacterium. Its description in RNAcentral is "partial 16S ribosomal RNA". It matches the Rfam family "Bacterial small subunit ribosomal RNA", at positions 338 to 795 of the family's 1533-position model. The record is from RNAcentral.